Small nucleolar RNA from Lemur catta (Ring-tailed lemur), 76 nucleotides. RefSeq annotates it as small nucleolar RNA SNORD74. The record is from RefSeq and is a predicted model, not a curated record. The transcript has a single exon. NCBI's taxonomy places the organism in Eukaryota, Metazoa, Chordata, Mammalia, Primates, Lemuridae.
UAUCCCUCUGAUGAAACCUAUGUUGGUAGGGACAUCUGAGAGAGUCAAUGAUUGCCAACCACUCUGAUGGUGGAAA